Molecule: ribosomal RNA, 434 nt
Filed under: uncultured bacterium
Lineage: Bacteria
Description: partial 16S ribosomal RNA
Rfam family: Bacterial small subunit ribosomal RNA
Source: RNAcentral
AGCGAACGCUGGCGGCAGGCCUAACACAUGCAAGUCGAACGAACCUUUCGGGGUUAGUGGCGGACGGGUGAGUAACACGUGGGAACGUGCCUUUAGGUUCGGAAUAACUCAGGGAAACUUGUGCUAAUACCGAAUGUGCCCUUCGGGGGAAAGAGUUAUCGCCUUUAGAGCGGCCCGAGUCUGUUUAGCUAGUUGGGUGAGGUAAUGGCACACCAAGGCGACGAUCAGUAGCUGGUCUGAGAGGAUGAUCAGCCACAUUGGGACUGAGACACGGCCCAAACUCCUACGGGAGGCAGCAGUGGGGAAUCUUGCGCAAUGGGCGAAAGCCUGACGCAGCCAUGCCGCGUGAAUGAUGAAGGUCUUAGGAUUGUAAAAUUCUUUCACCGGGGACGAUAAUGACGGUACCCGGAGAAGAAGCCCCGGCUAACUUCGUG